This 685-nucleotide ribosomal RNA is filed under the name fungal endophyte. RNAcentral's name for it is "eukaryotic LSU rRNA". The record is from RNAcentral. Lineage: Eukaryota; Fungi.
UCUGAAAUUCAAUGGCGGUCUGGUUCUGUUACCUUGCGUAGUAAGCUUUUUUGCCUCGUAACGUCAACACGAAUCGGCUUGCCGGUGAAUCCCCAUAUUUCACUAGGUUGACCUCGGAUCAGGUAGGGAUACCCGCUGAACUUAAGCAUAUCAAUAAGCGGAGGAAAAGAAACCAACAGGGAUUGCCUUAGUAACUGCGAGUGAAGCGGCAAAAGCUCAAAUUUGAAAUCUGACGUCUUCGGCGUCCGAGUUGUAAUUUGUAGGGAUAUCUCUCGGGGUAUGAGUCGCGUGAAGUUCCUUGGAAGAGGGCAUCAUAGAGGGUGAGAAUCCCGUGUGAGCGUGACUUCCAGCCUCAAGUAGAGUGUCUCCGACGAGUCGAGUUGUUUGGGAAUGCAGCUCAAAAUGGGUGGUAAAUUUCAUCUAAAGCUAAAUAUUGGCGAGAGACCGAUAGCGCACAAGUAGAGUGAUCGAAAGAUGAAAAGCACUUUGAAAAGAGAGUUAAAAAGUACGUGAAAUUGUUGAAAGGGAAGCGCUUGCGACCAGAUUCGACCUUGGGUGAUCAGCUGGGUUUCGGCCUGGUGAAAUCGCCCUUGGUUGGGCCAGCAUCGGUUCCGACGGUGGGAUAAAAGACGGGGAAAUGUAGCYYCCUUCGGGGAGUGUUAUAGUCCCCGUCAUAAUGCUKCCU